GAUGAACGCUGGCGGCGUGCCUAAUACAUGCAAGUCGAGCGAACAGACCAGGUUCUUUCUCCUCUGACGUUAUCGGCGGACGGGUGAUUAACACAUGUAUAACCUACCUAUAAGACUGGGAUAACUACGCCAAACCGGAUCUAAUACCGGAUAAUAUAUUGAACUGCAUUGUUCACUCGUUAAAGUAGGUUUUUCUUUCACUAAUAGAUGACUCAGCGCUGCAUUAGCUAGUUGGUAAGGUAACGGGUUACCAAGGCUACGAUGCGUAGCCGACCUGACAGGGUGAUCGGCCACACUGGAACUGAGACACGGUCCAGACUCCUACGGGAGGAAGCAGUAGGGAAUCUUACGCAAUGGGCGAAAGCCUGACAUAGCAACGCCGCGUGAGGGAUGAAGGUCUUCGGAUCGUAAAACGCUGUUAGUAGGAAAGAAGAAAAGUGUAAGUAACCAUGCACGUCUUGACGGUACCGAAAGAAUAAGCCACGGCUAACUACGUG
RNAcentral lists this ribosomal RNA (497 nucleotides) under uncultured bacterium. RNAcentral describes it as "partial 16S ribosomal RNA". It matches the Rfam family "Bacterial small subunit ribosomal RNA", at positions 28 to 507 of the family's 1533-position model. The record is from RNAcentral.